GCGAGGAUGGCGGAACUGGCAGACGCACUAGACUUAGGAUCUAGCGCCUUACGGCGUGGGGGUUCGACUCCCCCUUCUCGCACCA
Molecule: transfer RNA, 85 nt
Filed under: Bacillota bacterium
Lineage: Bacteria; Bacillati; Bacillota
Description: tRNA-Leu
Rfam family: tRNA
About the family: Transfer RNA (tRNA) molecules are approximately 80 nucleotides in length. Their secondary structure includes four short double-helical elements and three loops (D, anti-codon, and T loops). Further hydrogen bonds mediate the characteristic L-shaped molecular structure. tRNAs have two regions of fundamental functional importance: the anti-codon, which is responsible for specific mRNA codon recognition, and the 3' end, to which the tRNAs corresponding amino acid is attached (by aminoacyl-tRNA synthetases). tRNAs cope with the degeneracy of the genetic code in two manners: having more than one tRNA (with a specific anti-codon) for a particular amino acid; and 'wobble' base-pairing, i.e. permitting non-standard base-pairing at the 3rd anti-codon position.
Source: RNAcentral